AUACUUACCUGGCAGGGGAGAUACCAUAAUCAUAAAGAUGGUUUUCCCAGGGUGAGGCUUAUCCAUUGCACUCUGGAUGUCCUGACACCUGCAAUUUCCCCAAAUGUGGGAAACUCAACUGUGUAAUUUGUGGUAGUGGGGGGACUGCAUUCAUGCUUUUCCCUG
Molecule: small nuclear RNA, 165 nt
Organism: Peromyscus eremicus (cactus mouse)
Lineage: Eukaryota; Metazoa; Chordata; Mammalia; Rodentia; Cricetidae
Product: U1 spliceosomal RNA
Exons: 1
Source: RefSeq, a predicted model, not a curated record